AACCCCUUCUUUUCUUUAUAAUCAGUGGAUCCAUUGAAUACAAAUAAAUUGACUAUUACUCUUUUUUUUUAUAUUAAAGAUACAAAAUGUAACAACAAGAAUAACUCAGACUAAUCUCAAAUCCAAUAAAAAUAAUGCAUGAAUUCGAUUUGAAUAAAAAAAUAAGAAGAAGAAAAGACCAAAACAAAUCUAAUAGUAAUGCAGUUACAGAAGAGUGUGUAGUGAAGAUGAAAGUUAUGUGAUUUGUGUUGUUGUUAUGUGAGAAGGAGUAUGAAAGUUAUGGUGUUGGUGGUUAAUAGAAAAGUGGUUUAUGAUUUUAUGGUUUAUGUAGUUAUGGAAUUGAGAAGAAAGAAUUAGAAAAUAUGUUAUUUUAUGGUUAUAGAUGGAGUCUCUUGAUGGUUCACUGAAUAUUGAAGAUGAGAAAAAGAAGGUUUUUUUUGUGGUUGUAAAGUUUAAGGUAAAAAACAACAACUGCUACUCUCUCCUUUCUUCACUUUGUUGUCUUCCUUUUUUUGAAUUUCAGAGAGAGGGUUAUGUGCCGCUGGGAGCUUGCUUAUGGGUGUGCUCCUCCAUUUCUUUCAGUAAGAUGAUAUAUAUAGGAAUGGAAACAGGGUUUACUAAUUUUCUAAUAUACCAAAAGUACCCUUUUAAAUAUUAUUUAGUGAUAAAAAUACUUAAAACUAACUAAAUUAAAUAAAAUCAAAACACUUAAAAAUAAUUACAAUAUAUUCGAAAUAAGACCACAAUUAAUUCUAUUUAUUUUUAUUGAACAUUUUGACUAAAAAACAAAAGUAAAAAUCGGACGCAAAAACUGCUCGAAAAAUUAAACUGAAUGCACCCAAAUAAUCAACGCAAAAUAAACCUCUCGGAAAUAUACAACGUUUGAACCAAUUUAGAAAUAAAUUUUGACCGGUUAAAAGGCCCAGACUGAUGGAAAUGCGACCGAAAAAAUAGUCAAAAAAUUAAAACGAGUAUGCCAGAUUGAACUACGUGAAACGUAGAUCAAUAAAACUCACAUCUGCAAGCUUGAUUUUGAAACUUUUUCCCUGCUGUUUUGACACACAUUUGAUAAUUGAUUCAACCGGUUUUCCUGUAGAUUUGAAAAUUUAGUUCGACUGAUAUUCUAGGCAUUAUGCGGUAUGGAAUGCAUGUUAUGAUAUGUAAAGAUGCAACGACUAUGACGAAUGUGUUAAAUUGGCGAUUCAGGGUCAAAAUCGGGGUGUGACAGUUUCUCCUAUUUAAACAUCUUCAACUAGAGAAUAUGAAGCAAGAAACUCUUCAUAUGAUCAUAGUGGGAGAUGGUUAAAUACUAAGAAAACUCGGAUUUUGAUCCUGAAAUGCAAAAUGAUAUGACAUGAUAUGAGAUGUUAUGAAUGUAUGAAUGACUCUUUUUAUUUUUGAUUUGCUGGCAAUAUUAUCAGACAUAAGAUAAACCAUAGUAAGAUGUUUUAUGAUGAAUGCAGAACGAAACAAAGAUCUGCGGGGAAUGAUGAAGACAUAUGGUAAAGGUGACCCAUAAAAAACAAAAAAUAAGGGUAGAAAUUCAUUACGGAUAUCAAUCCUGCUGGAGGAAAGACAACUGGGAAAUAUGCAAAGAGAUUUUAACAACAAGUUCAUGUGUGACCUGACAACACCAGAAUAUUCAAAGAAUUUUCAACAACUGGUUCAAACAUGACAUGACAAAACUAGAAUAUUCAAAGAAUGCGCAAUUAACUAGUUCAAACGUGACCUGGAAGAAUUAGGGAACAUACAAAGAAUGUUCGAACAAACAGGUCCAUACAUUGAUCUGACGACAACCUGAAUAUCAAGGAAAGUCUAGUCAAUAUGUUCAUACACGAUCUGACAAUACCGGAAAAAAUCAAAGACUCCAUACAUGACCUGACCACUGGAAUAUUUAAAGACUUUAAAUAAUAGGUUCAAACAUGACUUAACAAUGCUGAGGGAUAUCAAAAGGAUCCAUCAACAGGUUCAAACAUGACCAGACAAUACCUGCAAAUAUACAAAGAAAAGUUCCAUCAACAGGCUCAUACAUGACCUGACAGCAUUGGACAAUUCAAAGUGUUUCAAGAACAAGUUCAGACAUCACCUGACAAUGCUAGAAAAUCAAGGAAAAUUUAAUCUAUAGGUUCAUACAUGACCUCAACAUUAGGAUAUUUAAAGAAAGUUUCACUCACAGGUUCAGACAUGACCUGACAACACUUAGGAAAAAAACAAAGGGGAGUUUUAUCAACAUGUUCAUACAUGACCCGACGACACUAGAAAAUUCAAAGAAACUAUAUCCAUAGGUUCAUGCAUGACUUGACAAUUCUGGAAUUUUCACAGAGAUUUUAACAACAGGUUCAUACAUGGCAUGUUAACACUAGAAAACCCAAAGAAAACUUCAACAACAGGUUCAUACAUGAGCUAAGAAUAUUGGAAAACAUAUAAAGCAAGUUUUAUCAACAGAUUCAUACAUGACCUGGCACUUUAGAAUACAUCUGACAAUUAUGGAGAUUUCUCACAAGAAAUUCAUCUGAUCAAAUAUUUUGGAGAUUCCUAACAGGGAAUUUAUGCAAACCAAAGAUAAACGGGAGCCUUCUUAUAAUUAGAUCAUCCACGCAAAAGGCUACGAUGAUUCUUUACAAAGAAAUCAAAUAAAACUAAUAUCAUUGGAGUUUUCUAACACGAAAAACCUCCAAGCUUCUGGGAAUUCCUCAAGAUGAUGAGUCAUACAUGACUUUCAUGGAACCAUCAGGAAAGACAAGGUAAUCAAACUCUCUCUACGUGCCAACAACAAUUGGACUUUGACCGUAAGCAAUGGGUUACAACCAGCUUUUAACGAAUAGGUGCCAACAACAAUUAGACUUCGACCGUAAGCAAUGGACUACAACCAGCUUUUAACGGGUAGGUGCCAACAACAAUUGGACUUUGACCGUAAGCAAUGUAUUACAACCAACUUUUAACGGAUAAAUGCCAACAACAAUUGAACUUUGAAAAUGACUGCGAAAACCAGAUGAUGGUUUAAGGGCACCAAAGAUAAACUGGGAUUAGAGGUCAAAGGAUAUAGGAUUAACAACAAGCCCUGAAUCAAUGCAAAAUGAGCGUAAAGUACAUGUCGUCUAUGCAUGAUUUGAAUAUGUUUUUAUGCAUGAUAUAUGAAUGAUCAUGAUAUGAAAAUGUUGAUACUUGAGCGGACUGAGAGUUUGUAAAGGUUUUUUAUGGAGGUCAUGACUCCUCAACACCGAGAACUCAACCAAAUAUUUUUUGAUAGAUGUUGUCAAAGGAGAAUUCUAUCAAGCUUGACAGCUACAACUUAUCCAAAUGGAUCCUUUCGGAGGAUUAAAGAAUCGUGCUAGCAUAAUUUUUGGGCACUCGCCUUAAACUCAAUAGUUGUAGACGUAUGGAAGAAUUUGUUUGAGCAAUUUGAAAGCAUGAAGGGAGUUUGUCGCUUUGUGGCUCAUCUUGCCCCAGUCUGUUGGGUCUGUGAAGAUGUUCACCUUGAAAGUAAGCUUGGAAACAACUUACCAUGAGACGACCUCGAGAUGGAUUUCCCCAAUGUUUGAAUAUCGUAGUGAUCCAACCCUGACUAACCAAAACUUGGAAUGUAGACUUUUGAUUGAUUGUCCCCGGCUAGUUGGAUUCAAUGAGCUUUUGGGGUGACUUGUCCCAGUCUGAGUCUUAAAGCAAAUUACUCUUGGUUAACUGACCCUUGGGAUAAUUGGCUCGGAUUUACUGAUACUCAAGGUGACUAUCACAUGAUUGGACUUCUUUCACUUUAUCAAGUUCCUCAAUUGUAUAUUGUUGGAAUUUCUUUAAUGCUAAGUGCUGACUCGCAAGUAAGAUUGUUCAUUCAAAAAUGGUAAUUUUAAUGCAGUGCUUAUGCAAAAAUUUGAAAUCAAAAUUUAUUGACAUGAACGAGUGAAAUACAGUGAACGGGUCACUGAUAAGAACACAAUGAUGAUCUAGUCAUUCACAGAAUGCAAGUUGGUGCGAUUAAAUGAUUAACAAAAAUCAUUUGGAGUCAGGUUAACACAACCUUGUUGUACUAUGCUUUCAGAAUAAACCAUGCCUCAAUUAGGUCUUUUAAGGGUUGUAAUUUGGCCUGGUUCACGUUUUUUAAAACAAAAGGAUAUAAGGCUCAAAAUUAAUUUUAACCCACCCCUUCUUUUUGAUGAUCUUCAAUUCCUACAUUCAGUUAAUUCGAUACACGCAUUUGACUUCAAGGAGGGUUUAAAGGUGUGAUGAGGAUUUAAGACGAAUUUUCUUGAAAUGGAAGUCACCUUAUUUUUCUUUAUUUUGUUGAGGAUUUGAGGACCUAUUUUUUUGUUUUUCUUUAUCUCUAAUUUUGUCUGGAUCGCUUCUAUGAAGCUUUCGGUCCAUCGGGAUGCCCUAACUUUUGCCUAAGUCAUUUUGUGGUAUUUGACUUAGCGGGCUUUUUUCUCUUUUUUUAAAGGUGUUGACUGCCACAUUAUUGGUGGAUUUGGAUCAACCAACACUAAUUUUAGCUUUUAUCAGCUUCUUCGACACUUCAACAUGUGCGCGAAGGAUAACAUGUGGUUGAACCUAAUUAGAAGGUGUACAGAUGGACAAAUUCUUUUGAAAGAUCGAAUGCACGGUCAAACUAUCUGAACACAACUACCCUGCCCCAGGUUAAGAUUAAAGGUUUUAAAUCCGAAAGAAAGACCAACUUCUAGGCUCAAAGUGGUUGACUAUGGAUUAACUCCUUAUAUCUUCAGUGUUUGGGGAUUUGAAAUAAUGCCUUACAUCAUCGACAAGGUUUUCUUCAAAAGCAUGCCACAACAAUUUUAGGUGUUUCAUUUUCAUCAUCCUCCUUCCAAUCUUUUUUAACACAACGGUUUGAUAAAUAAAAGUGAAUGAGAGAAGUAUUUUUGUUUUUAAAAUGAAAAACGAGUGAAUACGAAUGGAUUAAUUAAAAAGAUGCAUAAACAUUUCAUUAAUCUUACCAAUUCAAUAAGAACAACAAUGCUUAAAAGCAACUAACAAUCAACAUGCAAGGAAAUUACAAAAGAAAUGUUGAAUCAGCCGAAUGAUUGCCAGUUUUAUGGAAUUGACUUCUUCAAACUUGAUCCAUUGACUUCGGGAGAUGCCCCUUGAGGUCUUCGCACUUAUUUGGGCGAUAGGUUGACGUUCACCACCAAUUUUCCUUCUUGAAAGGCUAUGUACCUAUUGUCAAUCAAUUGUUGUGAUUUGGCUUUGAAAGUCUUGUAGUCUUCAGUUGAGUGCCCUUCUGAUCCAACAUGAUAUCCAUAUUGCACAUUUGGGCCAUACCCAAGUGGGUACAGUUGUGGAACCGGCUUAAGAGACUUGGGAACCACCAACGAGUUUUAAACCAGAGGUUGUAGAAGUUGUCUAUAUGUCAUGGGAAUUGGAUUACGAGGACUAUUCUUUAUUUCUAAGUUAUUUCGAGGCCUAUGCUGAUUAUGAUGGUAGUUUUGAUAUCUCUGGCAUUGGGCUCGUUGAUUUGGAUGAGUAGAAAACCUAGAUUGUUGGCAAUGAAGACCAAAAGUUAGUGGUUACUGGUAUGACACUUUGGGUGUUGUUAACUGCUCAUUUUCAUCCACUUAAAGGUUGGGAUCAAUAAGCUUUUUGACAUUGGCAUGACGAUCUUCAAAUUCUUUUCCUUCAAUCUCAUCAUUGGACGCAUCCAUCUUGGACCCACUACUCACUUCUCCUUUACUUCCGUCGGCAUGGGUCGUGACAUUGAAAAUCCAAGGCGAUAUUUCAAUUCUCUUACCGGGAAACAAUGAUAUCUCGUUAGCCACAUCCCUGACCUCUUCCUUGUGGUACAAAAACUUAAGGGGUUUCAGGGGUCCUUUGCCUUUCUCAUUACCUGGCCCAUAAAUCAAUAUAUAUGUACCUGAGCCUUCCUCCUUGAUUGUUGGUAACCUUAUGUCAAUCAAUCUUUGUAGCUUGAACUUAAAACUCUUGCAUUCCUCGAUGGAGUGCCCCAUUGUUCCAGUAUGGUAUCCGCACUUGACCUUCAGGUGAUCUUCUUCAAAGACUAAUCUCUUUUUGUUAAUCAGUUCUCGUACCAAGGCUUUCAGCGCUAAGCAAGAAUCUAGGUCAUGUCCCACUACCCCUUUAUGGAAUUCACAUGUUGCAUUUGGAUUGUACCAUGGCAGGUAUGGUGACGUAGAUGUGAGAGCUCGAGGGGUCACCAAAGCAUUCUGGAUCAGCUGCGGGUAGAGCUUGUUAUAUGGCACCAGAAUCGGGUCGUUGUGGUCUUUAUUACUCUUGUUCUGAUUCUGAUUUUUGUUCCAAACCUGACUUUGGUGAUUUUGAGGAGGAAUACCCAUAAGAUGUUGAUGAUGACAUCCCGAGGGAGGGCCAUAUGCCGGUAGAUGAGGAGUUGCCAUAUAGAAUUGCCUUUGACUUGGGGUAACAUCGGAUGGAUGUGGAUUAGUAGCUCCCUCCGUUGCAACAAUAUGUAUUGGAUGAUCCUCUUUUCUCAACAAGGCUUGCAGGGUUUCCAAGACCCAUCCCAUCUGGAUUUUCAAAAGAUUUAGUUCCUCUUUUAAUGCUUCUUGACUUUUCCUUAGCUCGUCCAUCAUCUCUUGAGACAUGGUUCUUUGUUCUAAACGCGUGUUGGGAAUCACUUUGCUGAUCAUGGACAAAGGAUGGAUGAUUUUUUUUGUAUUUUGUCUGGAAAACGACAUUCAUUCUGAUGAGAUGCAAAUGCAAUGGAAUGUGAAUGAAGGCAAUGCAAGCCAUGCAUUUUUUUCAAUACACAGGUUCAAAAGUAUGAGGUACUGAUGAAUCUGAUUGCUUUAUAAAGAAUAGGUUCUCACCAGGUACGAUCUAGGGUUUCAAAAAAAGUUCCUAGAGUCAUGGAUCCAUUAUACUAUUUGUUUCCUGUGGCAACUUACUUGCCGGACGUCAACUCCAUCCAAAGAAUCUACUAUAAGUGAGGUUCUCACAUCGAUCCAACGAGAAAUUCAUCUCGCAGACCCACACUACGCAACCAUCUUUCCUAGUUGGCCAAAGGAUUAAGGUUCUACAAAUGGUCCUUAGAUUCAUGGAUCCUGAUAAAAAUAUUGAAGCUUACAGCAACUUACUUGUCGGGCGACAACAUCUUCCCAAGGAUCUACUAUAAGUGAGGUUCUUGUACUGACCCAAGGAGAAAUUCAUCUCGUGGACCCGCAUUACUCAACCUCGUCCUAUCUUAUGUUUUUACUCGAGACUCGGGUAGAGAGUCUUUUCCAUAAGGUUUGCAAUCAGAGUAUCCAAGUAUCAAAGCAUAAUGGGACCAAUACAAUAGAUUAUAUCAAUAUGACAAUAAAGAUAAAGAGAGCAAGAAACCACUCAAGUAAACAAACAAAGGCACACAAAUGACCUAACUAGGCUUGACUCACUUAGGGAAAUCGCAAUUCCCCAAUAGAGUCGCCAUCAGUCGCACCUCGAAAAAUGAGAACACGACUUAGCAAAGCACAAUCGCACGCUCGCAAUGAUGGAUUGAACAGAGUCGUCACAAAACUUUAUUUAUUCCUAAAAAGGAAAGGGGAAAUAUCGAUAAAACCCAAGAAAGAACGACAAUGAUUAUGGUCGUCGCAACCAAAUCAGGGUUCGGGAGUCGAUUACGCAAGGGGAAGGUAUUAGCAAAAUAUCGAUAAAACCCAAGAAAGAACGACAAUGAUUAUGGUCGUCGCAACCAAAUCAGGGUUCGGGAGUCGAUUACGCAAGGGGAAGGUAUUAGCACCCCUCACGUCCGUUGUACUCAACGGGAGCCAUUAGGUUAAUUGUGCGCGUUAGUGUUAGUUUAGAAAAGUUAGACUUCUCAAGUUAUUAGGAGGAAAAGAAUAAUAAGAUCAAAAGAAAAGAAAAGAUGUUUUUGGAUUUUAAAACGAAGGGGAUUAAACCUAAGUUUUUUUAUUAAUGGGCCUGACAAGAUUUACAAAUCCUACUGCUACAUAUCUACGGAUGCAAUAGAGAACUUAAGGCUUAUGUAGUCAUGGAUAGAAAAAUAUUUGUUUGUUGGUCGAUUUUAGCGAAAGCUAUAUUGUAUUAAUAGAUGAAAACAUUGUUUUACCCAAAAUAGAUGAGGAGCGGACAUAUACCACACAUCGAAUGGAUUUACAAAUCAACAUUCGGAAAAACGUCACUUAUCUCAACUCAACAAUUAUGGCCGAAACAUUGCUUUACAUCACCUCAAGACAAGGUAUCUUUCGCUUAUGAAAAGGUUUUUCUAAUCAAUGGCACGAUAGUGAAAAAGAGUUUGAUUGGUUGAAUGUAUUUUUAGGCUUGAAAGACGAGUAUUUAUGACUUGCAAGCUCUUACAACUUGGGUCUAAUACUCGAGAUUACGUCUGGACCUUUCACCCAGGUAAUCUUUUUCUUUCAAUUUUAUUGAGAAAAGAAGUUUAAAUAUUUACAAGUAUUUUGAAGAGAAGACGAAUAAUUAUGGCUUGCAAGCUCUUACAACUUGGGCCUAAUAUUCAGGAUUACGACUAGAUAUUUCAUCCAGGUAAUCUUUUUCUUCAGAUUCACUUAUGAAAAUGAUUUGAAUAUUGAAGCGUUUUGAGGAGAAGACGAAUACAUAGGGCUUGCAAGCUCUUACAACUUGGGUCUAAUAUUCAGGAUUAUGACUGGAUAUUUCAUCCAGAUAAUCUUUUUCUUCAGAUUCACUUAUGAAAAUGAUUUGAAUAUUGAAGCGUUUUGAGGAGAAGACAAAUACAUAGGGCUUGCAAACUCUUAUAACUUGGGCCUAAUAUUCGGGAUUACGACUGGAUAUUUCAUCCAGGUAAUCUUUUUCUUCAGAUUUUAUUGAGAAAAAGACGUUUGAAUAUUUACAAAUAUUUUGAAGAGAAGAUGAAUACAUAUCGCUUACAAGCUCUUACGACUUGAGCCUAAUAUUCGAGAUUACGAUUGGAUAUUCCAUCUAGGGUAAUCUUUUUCUUCAGAUUUAGUUAUGAAAAUGGCUUGAAGUGACUUAAGGGUAAUUGAAAUGCAGACAAGUAAAUGUGAACAUGCAAAAAGAAAAGAGCUCAUUGUAAGAAGGCCCAAGAGUAAGCCACGAGACCAAAAUAAACCAAACUCGAAAACAACUGAAUUUAGCUCCAAGUUAACUUAGAGUAGAUUCAUGUAUGAAUCACUCUACAAAAAGCCGAGCAACCGGAUCUAUGCAUCCACAUGAUUUUUGAAAGUUAAAUUGAAAUUGAAAUUCCGAAAUGAUAACGCAAUAAAGGCAACAACACCAAACGCAAGCAUAUACUCAAUAUUUAUGUAUUACACGGAAACUAUCCAUUUAAAUAUAACACAUAAGCACAUAACUUUAACAAAUAGAACCAAAGAAACAAAAUUAAAAGAAUACUAUAAUUAAAACAAAUCUUUUUUUUUAUAAAUCAAGAUUAAAAUAGAAACACUAAUUCUAUUAACAAAACCAAAAACAAAUAAUAAUUACAGUAAUAAAUUGGCUUAGAACUAAGUUCUAAUUAGCAAUCAAAUGGUCCAAUUAAAUCAAGAUUAAAAUAGAAACACUAAUUCUAUUAACAAAACCAAAAACAAAUAAUAAUUACAGUAAUAAAUUGGCUUAGAACUAAGUUCUAAUUAGCAAUCAAAUGGUCCAAUUAAUAAUCAAAAUGUGAAAACUAUAAAUGAGUUAGGUCCAAUAAAAAAAAUUAGAAACACAAUCCAAAAUUUAUUUAAACAUAAAUAAGAAACACAUAUUAAUUGUUAUAAAUAAUAACUAAAUUAUUAAUUAUAAAAAUAAAUAAAUAAAUAAAAUGAAUUAGAGAAAAAGAGACGUAACAACCCCUUCUUUUCUUUAUAAUCAUUGGAUCCAUUGAAAACAAAUGAAUUAACUAUUACUCUCUCUCUCUUUUAUUAAAGAUACAAAAUGGAACAACAAGAACAACUCAGACUAAUCUCAAAUCCAAUAAAAAUAAUGCAUGAAUUCGAUUUGAAUAAAAAAAUAAUAAGAAAUAAAUACCAAAACAAAUCUAAUAGUAAUGCAGUUACGGAAGAGUGUGUAGUGAAGAUGAAAGUUAUGUGAUUUGUGUUGUUGUUAUGUGAGAAGGAGUAUGAAAGUUAUGGUGUUGGUGGUUAAUAGAAAAGUGGUUCAUGAUUUUAUGGUUUGUGUAGUUAUGGAAUUGAGAAGAAAAAACUUAGAAAAUAUGUUAUUGUAUGGUUAUAGAUGGAGUCUCUUGGUGGUUCACUGCAUAUUGAAGAUGAGAAAAAGAUUUUUUUUUGUGGUUGUAAAGUUUAAGGUAAA
RNAcentral lists this long non-coding RNA (10206 nucleotides) under Lathyrus oleraceus (garden pea). RNAcentral's name for it is "Pisum sativum (pea) long non-coding RNA (PSAT_LNC019370)". Lineage: Eukaryota; Viridiplantae; Streptophyta; Magnoliopsida; Fabales; Fabaceae. The record is from RNAcentral.